This 342-nucleotide unclassified non-coding RNA is filed under the name uncultured fungus. Its description in RNAcentral is "partial contains 5.8S ribosomal RNA and internal transcribed spacer 2". The stretch from base 1 to 133 matches the Rfam family "5.8S ribosomal RNA", at positions 22 to 154 of the family's 154-position model. The record is from RNAcentral. Lineage: Eukaryota; Fungi.
UGGUUCUGGCAUCGAUGAAGAACGCAGCGAAAUGCGAUAAGUAAUGUGAAUUGCAGAAUUCAGCGAAUCAUCGAAUCUUUGAACGCACAUUGCGCCCGCUAGUAUUCUGGCGGGCAUGCCUGUUCGAGCGUCAUUUCACCACUCUGGCACUUCUGUGUCAGGCGUUGGGGCUUUUCUACAGGGUGCCUUGUACCCUGUAGGCCCUCAAGAUCAGUGGCGGGCCUAGUCGGGAACCCUAGCGCAGUAAUUCUUCUCGCUCAGGGGACUUCUGGCGGGCUUUCUAGCCAACUUAAGCCUAUAUUUUGAAAGGUUGACCUCGGAUCAGGUAGGAAUACCCGCUGA